This 490-nucleotide ribosomal RNA is filed under the name uncultured bacterium. Its description in RNAcentral is "partial 16S ribosomal RNA". It matches the Rfam family "Bacterial small subunit ribosomal RNA", at positions 30 to 507 of the family's 1533-position model. The record is from RNAcentral.
AUUGAACGCUGGCGGCAGGCCUAACACAUGCAAGUCGAACGGUAACAGGAAGCAGCUUGCUGCUUCGCUGACGAGUAGCGGACGGGUGAGUAAUGUCUGGGAAACUGCCUGAUGGAGGGGGAUAACUACUGGAAACGGUAGCUAAUACCGCAUAACGUCGCAAGACCAAAGAGGGGGACCUUAGGGCCUCUUGCCAUCGGAUGUGCCCAGAUGGGAUUAGCUAGUAGGUGGGGUAACGGCUCACCUAGGCGACGAUCCCUAGCUGGUCUGAGAGGAUGACCAGCCACACUGGAACUGAGACACGGUCCAGACUCCUACGGGAGGCAGCAGUGGGGAAUAUUGCACAAUGGGCGCAAGCCUGAUGCAGCCAUGCCGCGUGUAUGAAGAAGGCCCUCGGGUUGUAAAGUACUUUCAGCGGGGAGGAAGGGAGUAAAGUUAAUACCUUUGCUCAUUGACGUUACCCGCAGAAGAAGCACCGGCUAACUCCGUG